Molecule: ribosomal RNA, 1034 nt
Filed under: uncultured Bacillus sp.
Lineage: Bacteria; Bacillati; Bacillota; Bacilli; Caryophanales; Bacillaceae
Description: bacterial SSU rRNA
Rfam family: Bacterial small subunit ribosomal RNA
Source: RNAcentral
GGGGCCCGUUGCGGGCAUGCUAAUACAUGCAAGUCGAGCGGACAGAAGGGAGCUUGCUCCCGGAUGUUAGCGGCGGACGGGUGAGUAACACGUGGGUAACCUGCCUGUAAGACUGGGAUAACUCCGGGAAACCGGAGCUAAUACCGGAUAGUUCCUUGAACCGCAUGGUUCAAGGAUGAAAGACGGUUUCGGCUGUCACUUACAGAUGGACCCGCGGCGCAUUAGCUAGUUGGUGGGGUAAUGGCUCACCAAGGCGACGAUGCGUAGCCGACCUGAGAGGGUGAUCGGCCACACUGGGACUGAGACACGGCCCAGACUCCUACGGGAGGCAGCAGUAGGGAAUCUUCCGCAAUGGACGAAAGUCUGACGGAGCAACGCCGCGUGAGUGAUGAAGGUUUUCGGAUCGUAAAGCUCUGUUGUUAGGGAAGAACAAGUGCGAGAGUAACUGCUCGCACCUUGACGGUACCUAACCAGAAAGCCACGGCUAACUACGUGCCAGCAGCCGCGGUAAUACGUAGGUGGCAAGCGUUGUCCGGAAUUAUUGGGCGUAAAGGGCUCGCAGGCGGUUUCUUAAGUCUGAUGUGAAAGCCCCCGGCUCAACCGGGGAGGGUCAUUGGAAACUGGGAAACUUGAGUGCAGAAGAGGAGAGUGGAAUUCCACGUGUAGCGGUGAAAUGCGUAGAGAUGUGGAGGAACACCAGUGGCGAAGGCGACUCUCUGCUCUGUAACUGACGCUGAGGAGCGAAGCGUGGGAGAGCGAACAGGAUUAGAUACCCUGGUAGUCCACGCCGUAUACGAUGAGUGCUAAGUGUUUAGGGGUUUCCGCCCCUUAGUGCUGCAGCUAACGCAUUAGCACUCCGGCUGGGGGAGUACAGACGCAAGACUGAUACUCAAAGGAAUUGACAGGGGGCGCGCACAGGCGGUGGAUCAUGUGGUUUAUUUCGAAGCACCGCGAGAAUCUUCACCACGUUUAGGCAUCCUCUGACAACCCUUAAUAUAGGGCUUCCCCAUCCCGGGAACAAGUGAAAGGUGGGU